UAGCUCAGUUGGUAGAGCGCAACCUUGCCAAGGUUGAGGUCGCGAGUUCGAGUC
RNAcentral lists this transfer RNA (54 nucleotides) under Stenotrophomonas maltophilia. Its description in RNAcentral is "tRNA-Gly". It matches the Rfam family "tRNA", at positions 8 to 59 of the family's 71-position model. From Rfam's summary of the family: Transfer RNA (tRNA) molecules are approximately 80 nucleotides in length. Their secondary structure includes four short double-helical elements and three loops (D, anti-codon, and T loops). The record is from RNAcentral. Lineage: Bacteria; Pseudomonadati; Pseudomonadota; Gammaproteobacteria; Lysobacterales; Lysobacteraceae.